Molecule: long non-coding RNA, 613 nt
Organism: Hyla sarda
Lineage: Eukaryota; Metazoa; Chordata; Amphibia; Anura; Hylidae
Exons: 3
Source: RefSeq, a predicted model, not a curated record
UGUCAUAACCAUUGUCCACCAAAGAGCAGCACUGAGCAGAAAUAACACGGCUCCUGUUCAUUCUCCAUCAGUGAGGGGCCGGUGCUGGACACUGUGUAGGGACGCGGGAAUGCAAAGUCAUACACAUGACUGUGACUGAUGCAGUAUCUCCAGGACAUGGAGUAGCAUUUCCGGACCUACAGCAAGACGUUGGAUGAAGGCAUAGCCCCAGAAAUAACACUGGUCCUGUUCAUCAGUGAGGGGCCGGUGCUGGACACUGUGUAGGGACGCGGGAAUGCAAAGUCAUGCACAUGACUGUGACUGAUGCAGUAUCUCCAGGACAUGGAGUAGCAUUUCCGGACCUACAGCAAGACGUUGGAUGAAGGCACAGGCCUAGGAAUCAUGCACAUACACAGAAACAUUUGCCCAAAUUCUAGAGGUAACCUCCUUUAGUAUGCCCAGAGGAAGGGCCAUACAGUAGCCAUGGAUUCCCUACAGGUUUCCUCCCCUCUGGAGGUUUUUCCUGUCCUGAGUAUUAGUUACUGUACGCUCUUUGUGAGUGAUGGGAGGUUACAAAAGAUCCCCUACACAAACAUUUUAAUAAAUAAUAAAUAAAGUUCCCCCUUUUUUUAAA